This 384-nucleotide ribosomal RNA is filed under the name marine copepod environmental sample. RNAcentral's name for it is "partial small subunit ribosomal RNA". It matches the Rfam family "Eukaryotic small subunit ribosomal RNA", at positions 587 to 972 of the family's 1831-position model. Lineage: Eukaryota; Metazoa; Arthropoda; Copepoda. The record is from RNAcentral.
AGCUCCAAUAGCGUAUAUUAAAGUUGUUGCGGUUAAAAAGCUCGUAGUUUGAUCUCGGCGAACAGGGGUCGGUUCGUUAUUUGACGGUACUGCCCCAUUUGUUCUUCUUUUUGCCCGGUGAUUGUUGUUCCCCUUUUUUUUGUGUCUCCGGUCGCUUGCAGGUUUACUUUGAAAAAAUUAGAGUGCUCAAAGCAGGCUUACACGCUUGAAUAUUCGUGCAUGGAAUAAUAGAAUAGGAAGUCGUUUCUAUUUUGUUGGUUUUCGGAAAAUGACGUAAUGAUUAAUAGGGACAAUCGGGGGCAUUAGUAUUCAAACGACAGAGGUGAAAUUCUUGGACCGUUUGAAGACUAACUACUGCGAAAGCAUUUGCCAAGAGUGUUUUCA